AACGCGAAGAACCUUACCUGGGUUUGACAUGCACCAGACAUCCCUAGAGAUAGGGCUUCCCUUGUGGUUGGUGUGCAGGUGGUGCAUGGUUGUCGUCAGCUCGUGUCGUGAGAUGUUGGGUUAAGUCCCGCAACGAGCGCAACCCUUGUUCCAUGUUGCCAGCGGGUAAUGCCGGGGACUCAUGGGAGACUGCCGGGGUCAACUCGGAGGAAGGUGGGGAUGACGUCAAAUCAUCAUGCCCCUUAUGUCCAGGGCUUCACACAUGCUACAAUGGCCAGUACAGAGGGCUGCGAGACCGUGAGGUGGAGCGAAUCUCUUAAAGCUGGUCUCAGUUCGGAUUGGGGUCUGCAACUCGACCCCAUGAAGUUGAGUCGCUAGUAAUCGCAGAUCAGCAACGCUGCGGUGAAUACGUUCCCGGGCCUUGUACACACC
This 432-nucleotide ribosomal RNA is filed under the name uncultured bacterium. RNAcentral's name for it is "bacterial SSU rRNA". It matches the Rfam family "Bacterial small subunit ribosomal RNA", at positions 958 to 1391 of the family's 1533-position model. The record is from RNAcentral.